RNAcentral lists this long non-coding RNA (1774 nucleotides) under Coturnix japonica (Japanese quail). RNAcentral describes it as "lncRNA (ENSCJPG00005014629.1)". Lineage: Eukaryota; Metazoa; Chordata; Aves; Galliformes; Phasianidae. The record is from RNAcentral.
AUGCUCCUGACCUUGCCUUGGCUUCCCUGCUUGACCUCAGACCUACCUCAUUGUGGAAAACUUGUCUGGAACUCUCAGGUGAGCUCCCUGGCAUACCCAGGUGUGGAGGAGUGCUGUCACUGCCAUCAGCUUGGAAGAUGUGUGCACUCCUUGCUGCAGGACACCACGUGCCUCUUUUUAACUCCUUCUAUUAAGGAAGCUCUGUGGAAAUCUGUGUCGACUACUAAAAGUAAGUUCAGUUACAAUCAGGGUUUGCAGGUGUCGCAGGCAAUUCUUGUAGCUCUCUGCCCAUCAGUGCACCCUGCCAUGCACAGUUUUUGUUUUCUAAUCCUUUCCUGCAUCCAUCCUUAUAUGCAGUGUGAGAACUGUACCGACAAGGGAGUAAGGUGAGACCACAGCUGUGUAAUAACUGCCCUUCAAAGAGCAAAGUUUAUUUCAACUGUAUUUCAAUGAAGUUUCAGCUGCAGGAUUUAGAUGGUAAAGGACACAGAUGAAUACAGUAAUUUUCUUUCCUAUCUUUAAUGCCUUGUCUUGCAUAGGAUGAGAGAUGUUCAUGUAGCCUGAAUGAGCACAGCUUCCUUGGUUUUAUCAGAGCAGCAUUUAUUUUCAUUAGCUGGGAACAGUUCAUGCCACGGUGUUUCCUUCCUGUGCCAGAGCAGCCAGUGAUUAUCAGUGAAACCAUCAGUUGGCUUUAAGGUUCAUUUUUAAAGGAAAGGCUGUUUUUUUUAGUUGGUCUGUUCAUUUGAAUCACUGUAACCAAGCAGUGCAUUACUUGUUCUUUGACUUCCCCAGACAUGCUGGGGAAGUGUUCUAUGAUUCCAUGUACAUACAGAUAUGGGCUUUUGUGGAUGUUUAUUAAUUUGUGACAGUAAUCUUUGAGAACUUGAUCUUGAUUGUAUUGCUAGGUAGAUACUUACUGAACACUUCAGACAAGCCAGCUCUCUGCGUGGUUUCUUAGCUUUUACAGUUUUCAGCUCGUAGUUCUACACAGCUAAUAUUGAGUAUUUUCUUCCAGUUGGACAAACACUGACAGCACAAGAGAAAUGUAGAUACAGCAAAAUAUAACUAGUUUGUAUGUGCUCUCAAUAAGCAGUAUGGCAACUUAAGGUUUAGUUUAACAAGUUCAGUGUUAAGUGAAGGAGAGUGCUGUGCAUUGACCACUGCGGUAGAAUCUUAUAUGAAUAGUUAACAGGAGGGGAAAAAAAAAAUUGUACUCUUCUGGAAUUUUGCCACAAAAUGGUGGUUAACUUCAUAGUUUUAAAGCUGUGUAAUUCAGUUCUGUGGCGAUGAUGAUCCCAGAGGUGGUCACUGAGGGAGAGCCUGCAAAUUCUUCUGGAAAGCAAGAAGUCGCUGCUUAAUGGGUGACGCUUCCACAUCUAGCUUAGACACAUAGAAAAAACUAACCAUGAUUUGUCCUGCUCAGCAUCCAGCGGCUCUCGCUGACUUUUUCCAGAUCCCUUUACUUAAUACUAUUUCCUCCUUUAAAGUUUCUUAUCUCUAUGUGAUUCCAGGCAAGAGUUGGUAGCACCAAGCAGGAUCACAGUCUGGCAAAUUAAGCCAAAUUCUGUACUUUGGAAAGCUGCAAGUUUGGCAACAAGCAGGAAGAAGCUGCAGAUUGCUUCUGUGCUCAGAGUGAUGAGGUCCAAACUUUCAGAUGGGACAGAGGCUGUAAUGGCAGAAUCCUGUCUUUUGCUUUUAAAUGAAUUUCACAAGUCUGCUGCCAUGUUCCAAAGUUUAAUGCAAAUAAAUCAGUGAUUGAAAUUGGAAUGUUUCA